AGACUGAUGUGCAAUGGCCAAGCAGCAGGGAUUAGAGGGCUCUGCUCUUGGCCAACUGUGUGAUCUUGCACAAGUGCUUGACCUCCCUUAGCCUGUUUCCUCAUUAUCAAGAAAACAGAUGGGACAGGCUCAAACAUUCCUAGAGUCUGUUAUGCCAUACAGUCAACUGCAUCCAAAACCCCAGGGAGGUGGCUUCAAUUCCUAUUCUUUUUCUAGAACAUAGUCCUUCCAGGUGAAUGGGAGACUAUAUGCUGAGAUUUUUCCCAGGCUUGCCUCCCUAGUUGCAUGUGGCACACACUGGGAGUGGUCAGAUGAUCUAUUUUCUGUGUAUGUUUGUAGCCAGUUGUUCAGCUCCACUGUGAUAAAAUCAUGAAUCAUGGUUACUGGAUCUCAGUGAAGCAAAUAUGAUGAGGCAGGAAAAAUUUCUCAGAACACAUACCCCAGAGAGACUACAAAUGAACCAUUGCAUUAUUUUUUUUUUUUGCACAGCAUGAGAUCAUUCAUAUUCUUUCACUCUUUUUCAUGAUACACACUCUUUCAUUCCCCAACUCAUACACACCCCAAGUUCGGUCCUUGUCUUCCUACCCAAACUCUUAACUCAGGACAAGCUUUGACUCAAAUGCAGACCCUAAUGUGUGAUGCCUAGCCCAUCUAGUCAGUAAGGUGAGGGCCAGAGCUAGUUACAAAAAGACAAUCUUAAUGAAUCCUCUGCCGAAUAGGAAAUGUGUUCUGUUUGCGAAGCUACUUAACUGAAUUCAUUUAAUUGAAAGAUGGUGCUGAGAAUUCUUUUUUCUUUCAGAAAGGGCUGAAGGAAUUGAAGAGAAAAAUCCUCCCCCAAUAGCAUGCCCCUGCCUAUAUGUCACUGGGAAGUCACAGCAAAUACUGUGAAGAUUACUACAAAUUUAUUCUACAGAGGAUCAGAAUGCCAAAACGCUGGCAGCCAGGAUUCUAUCCUCAAAGCAAGAGACUGGAAGACUUGGAGAACUCAGUCCAGUCAAGAGAAACCUUCUAACAAGAUUGAUAGCAAGAGGUCCUCCCAAAAUGGCUCAUCCUGAUCAUGCUACAGAAAACACCUAGUAGAAGUGCCAAUGGUAAGUACAGACAUUUUGCAAUCUGCUUCUUAGUACUACAGUCUUGAAAAAUGAGCAGUCUCUGACAUAUGAGGUGGAGACCAAAGAUAAAUAAAGCCACUUGAAAGAAAAUAAAAUUACAAUGAUAAAGAAAUAUCAAAAAAUAAUCAUCAGUGUGAGUAGGAAGAUGAGAUAUUAAGUUCAUGAAAUAUGAACAGUUUUUUUUAAAGGGUACACUCAGGGAAUGUAAAGAAAUUCUUAGAAAAUAAAAAUACCAGAAAGUAGACUUCAGUAAAGGAAUUGGAGGGAUUGGGGAGGACGAAAAACUAUAAGAACAUUAGAGGAUAAAUCUAACAGAUCUGAUAUAUGAAAUAAAGGGAAUUUUUAAAAAACUAUAACCAAAAAUUUGUCGAGGAUAAAUUAUAAAAAUAAUAUAGUUGCGGAAAAUUUUCUGAAACUGAAGGACAAGUAUUUUCUGAUUUAAAAAGUCCACUGAGUUUCUAGAAAAAUGGAUUGACUGAAACAGAUCCACACAAAGGGUAAUUAUUGGGAAAUUUCAAAACUCUAAGAAAAAAUGAAAAUUCUAUAAGCUUCCAAAUGGAGGAAAUAUAAAUUUAGUUACAUAAGAUCAGCAAUCACAAUGGCAUCACAACCUCACAACUUACAAAUGACUAUGUAGCAAAGCCUUCAAAGCUACAGACAAAAAUUAUUUCAACUUCAAAUUCUAUGUUCAGAUAAUUUUUCAAGUAAUGAGUGUAGAAUAAAGACAUCUUCAGAUAUUCAAGGGAUCAAACAUCAUUCUGCCCAUACACAAUUUCUAGGGAGUUACUAGAUUGUGUAUUUCUCCAAUGCAAUGUAGUAAACAACAGGAGAAUAGGACACAGGAAAUAGGUGAUCCAAUAUAAGAGAGAGCUACAUAGAAUCCAAAGGGUCAUGGUCAGAUGCCAAGGGGCAGCUGUGCAGCUGGCCCAGAGAGAAGUCUUCAGUCUAGGCUGCAGCAGGACAGAGAACUCCAGAGAAAAGUCUUUAAGAAGAUGGCAUUUUUAAAAAUGCUUGAUAUGUUUUAACGUGAGAAAAAAUUCACACAACUGAGUUGAGGGAAGUUUGGAUUGAAUUAGUACAAAGAAUAAUAAGCAAAUGCAUUAAGAAACUAGUAACUUCAGAGAAAAUUAGAGUGAUAAAAGUAAUCAGAUUAAGCCAUAUGACUAGUUGUGAAUAGAAUUUUUCCAAUCACUAAUAAACACCAAAGAUGUAUCCAGCAA
Molecule: long non-coding RNA, 2332 nt
Filed under: Macaca mulatta (Rhesus monkey)
Lineage: Eukaryota; Metazoa; Chordata; Mammalia; Primates; Cercopithecidae
Description: lncRNA (ENSMMUG00000064182.1)
Source: RNAcentral